Molecule: ribosomal RNA, 254 nt
Filed under: uncultured bacterium
Lineage: Bacteria
Description: partial 16S ribosomal RNA
Rfam family: Bacterial small subunit ribosomal RNA
Source: RNAcentral
GACGAACCGUGCGAACGUUAUUCGGAAUCACUGGGCUUAAAGCGCGUGUAGGCGGGCCGGCACGUCGGUCGCUGAAAUCCCCCGGCUCAACCGGGGAAGGGGCGCCGAUACGACCGGCCUGGAGGGGCGUAGGGGGACCUGGAACUUCCGGUGGAGCGGUGAAAUGCGUUGAGAUCGGAAGGAACGCCCGUGGCGAAAGCGAGGUCCUGGACGCCUGCUGACGCUGAGACGCGAAAGCCAGGGGAGCGAACGGG